RNAcentral lists this transfer RNA (73 nucleotides) under Acidimicrobiales bacterium. RNAcentral describes it as "tRNA-Asn". It matches the Rfam family "tRNA". Rfam says of the family: Transfer RNA (tRNA) molecules are approximately 80 nucleotides in length. Their secondary structure includes four short double-helical elements and three loops (D, anti-codon, and T loops). Further hydrogen bonds mediate the characteristic L-shaped molecular structure. tRNAs have two regions of fundamental functional importance: the anti-codon, which is responsible for specific mRNA codon recognition, and the 3' end, to which the tRNAs corresponding amino acid is attached (by aminoacyl-tRNA synthetases). tRNAs cope with the degeneracy of the genetic code in two manners: having more than one tRNA (with a specific anti-codon) for a particular amino acid; and 'wobble' base-pairing, i.e. permitting non-standard base-pairing at the 3rd anti-codon position. The record is from RNAcentral. Lineage: Bacteria; Bacillati; Actinomycetota; Acidimicrobiia; Acidimicrobiales. RNAcentral also lists the same sequence under 1 other name.
UCCGGGGUAGCUCAACUGGCAGAGCAUCCGGCUGUUAACCGGCAGGUUGUGGGUUCGAGUCCCACCCCCGGAG